This 642-nucleotide ribosomal RNA is filed under the name uncultured bacterium. RNAcentral describes it as "bacterial SSU rRNA". It matches the Rfam family "Bacterial small subunit ribosomal RNA", at positions 8 to 650 of the family's 1533-position model. The record is from RNAcentral.
AGAGUUUGAUCAUGGCUCAGGAUGAACGCUGGCGGCGUGCCUAACACAUGCAAGUCGAGCGAAGCAAUGUUAAGGAAGUUUACGGAUGGAAUUAAGAUUGACUGAGCGGCGGACGGGUGAGUAACGCGUGGGUAACCUGCCUCAUACAGGGGGAUAACAGUUAGAAAUGACUGCUAAUACCGCAUAAGCGCACAGGACCGCAUGGUCCGGUGUGAAAAACUCCGGUGGUAUGAGAUGGACCCGCGUCUGAUUAGUUAGUUGGCGGGGUAGCGGCCCACCAAGACGACGAUCAGUAGCCGACCUGAGAGGGUGACCGGCCACAUUGGGACUGAGACACGGCCCAAACUCCUACGGGAGGCAGCAGUGGGGAAUAUUGCACAAUGGGGGAAACCCUGAUGCAGCGACGCCGCGUGAGUGAAGAAGUAUUUCGGUAUGUAAAGCUCUAUCAGCAGGGAAGAAGUUGACGGUACCUGAGUAAGAAGCCCCGGCUAACUACGUGCCAGCAGCCGCGGUAAUACGUAGGGGGCAAGCGUUAUCCGGAUUUACUGGGUGUAAAGGGAGCGUAAACGGCAGUGCAAGUCUGAAGUGAAAGCCCCGGGCUUAACCCGGGAACUGCUUUGGAAACUGUACGGCUGGAGUGCU